UCUCUCAGGGUGGAUUCGAACCACCGACAACUCCUUAGUUAAAUGGUAGGAGCACUCUGACCACUGAGCUACCGAGAG
This 78-nucleotide transfer RNA is filed under the name Vibrio phage 1.025.O._10N.222.46.B6. Its description in RNAcentral is "tRNA-OTHER". The record is from RNAcentral. Lineage: Duplodnaviria; Heunggongvirae; Uroviricota; Caudoviricetes; Schitoviridae. RNAcentral also lists the same sequence under 4 other names.